RNAcentral lists this ribosomal RNA (464 nucleotides) under Vreelandella stevensii. Its description in RNAcentral is "partial 16S ribosomal RNA". It matches the Rfam family "Bacterial small subunit ribosomal RNA", at positions 338 to 794 of the family's 1533-position model. The record is from RNAcentral. Lineage: Bacteria; Pseudomonadati; Pseudomonadota; Gammaproteobacteria; Oceanospirillales; Halomonadaceae.
CCUACGGGAGGCUGCAGUGGGGAAUAUUGGACAAUGGGCGAAAGCCUGAUCCAGCCAUGCCGCGUGUGUGAAGAAGGCCUUCGGGUUGUAAAGCACUUUCAGUGGGGAAGAAAGCCUUGGGGCUAAUACCCUCGAGGAAGGACAUCACCCACAGAAGAAGCACCGGCUAACUCCGUGCCAGCAGCCGCGGUAAUACGGAGGGUGCGAGCGUUAAUCGGAAUUACUGGGCGUAAAGCGCGCGUAGGCGGUCUGAUAAGCCGGUUGUGAAAGCCCCGGGCUCAACCUGGGAACGGCAUCCGGAACUGUCAGGCUAGAGUGCAGGAGAGGAAGGUAGAAUUCCCGGUGUAGCGGUGAAAUGCGUAGAGAUCGGGAGGAAUAGCAGUGGCGAAGGCGGCCUUCUGGACUGACACUGACGCUGAGGUGCGAAAGCGUGGGUAGCAAACAGGAUUAGAUACCCUAGUAGC